UCUCUGCCGCCCAGUUACAAAAAGUGGCAACUUCCCCUCCGGCCCGCAGACUGAUCGCUCAUUUGAAUGCGUUUCCUUUUCAUUAAGAACAAAGGUUGGAGUCCGAGCCUCGCGGCGCGGCGGCCGGAAAGUACAAGAUGUGUGUCGAGAGCAAACACACACACACACACACACACAGAAUGACCCACGAGAAAGGGAAAGGGGAAAACACCAAUCCUGCGCUGGGCUUUUUCGACUUUUCCUUUAAAAAGAAAAAAGUUUUUCAAGCUGUAGGUUCCAAGAACCGGCAGGAGGGGGGCGAGGCGGGGUGGGGGGGUGUACAGAAAAGGCGCCUGGUCGGUUAUGAGUCACAAGUGGGUUAUAAAAGGGUCGCACGUUCGCAGGCGCGGGCUUCCUGUGCGCGGCUGAGCCGGGGCGCAGCGCGACGGUCCCAUCGGGCGGCCUCCACCCUCGGGACGCGAGCGGAGCGCCGAGCCCAGCGGCGAUCACGCGACGCGGGGAAGGAAGGAAGAUCUCUCCUUUCAAAGAUAACUAGCCAAAUGAACAUAAUAAACAAGUCCAAGCAGUUGGAGGGGCGGCCGCCACCCCACCAUCUCCAAAUAACUGAUUCGCAUUUCCGAGACGGUUCACCUGAAGCCUUGCCUGCCACCUUGGUUCUCCCACCUGAAGGAGAUGGUUCUAACGGUGGCGCAAACCAGGAAGGGGAAAUCUGUGGUUUACGUUCUCUGUGCCUCAUCCCUCUCGGAGAGCUGGAGGCUUGCUGGAGGCUAUAUGCUGUUAAUGCUAAUUGUGAUAGGGGUUUUUACCUCCGUCUGACUCCUACAUGUUAGCAUUAACAGGGUAUGAUGCCUGUUACUAGCAUUCACAUGGAACAAACUGCUGCUGUGGGAGGAUGACAAAGAAGUGUGAGUCACCCUGCUGGAUAAACUCAGACUUUAAGCUUUAUUAUUUUUUGUUAAUCAUAAUCUGGUCACUGGGAUGUUCCACCUGAUAGUAAGUCUUAAGAAUAAGGUCUUGUAAAAGAUUUAUCAAUGGUAUCCUGAAAGCAAACUUUUUUACUUUAAUCCUGAAGCCCACAUAUUUUUAAAAAAAAAUCUUUAAUGGAAAAUGUAUUCCUGUCCUUUUUAAUUCACAGUUAUGGUUUGUUCAUUAUAACUGUUUAUAAACACUUUGAAUAAUUUAACUAGAAAGAAAUAUAAACACAUUCUGAGUAUCUUUGCAGUUAAAAAUUAGGACUACUAUCCACUAAUUAAUCAUGGAUUGUUGGGAAAUAUGUUUAAAAAGAUUUAGAAAUUGGUAUUUCCCCCAUGUAACAAUUCUAUUUAGACAACUUCAGUUUCAAAUGGAUACUUUUAUAUGAAUCUUAAAGUAGACUUGAAAGGCUAUGGCAAUUAGUUUUUAAAAAAUGAAAGAUUUCAUUCUUUUUUAUGGCUGAGUAGUAUUCCAUUGCAUAUAUAUACCACAUAUCCUUAAUCCACCCAUUCGUCUGUCGCUGGACAUUUAGGCUGUUUCCAUUUGCAGCAACAUGGAUGCAAAUAGAGAUUCUCAUACUAAAUGAAGUUAAGUCAGAAAGAUAAAGACAAAUUCCAUAUGAUAUCAGUUAUAUGUGGACUCAAAAAUAUGGCACAAAUGAACCUAUCUACAAAACAGAAACAGACCCACAGACAUAGAGAAUAGACUUGUGGUUGCCAAGGGGGGAGGGAAGAGGGAGUGGGAUGGAUGGGCAGUUUGGGGUUAGUAGAUACAGACUAUUACAUUUAGAUUAGAUGGGCAAUGAGGUCCUACUAUUCAGCACGGGGAACUAUAUCCAGUCUCUUGGGAUAGACCAUGAUGGAAGAUAAUAUAAGACAAGGAAUGAAUAUAUACAUAUGACUGGGUCACCUUGCUGCAAUAGCAGAACUUGCCACAACGUUGUACAUCAACUAUACGUUAAUAAAAAAAUCAAAAAGAUUUUUUAAAAUUAGUACAGUUAAUGACAUGUGAGAACCAAUCCAUCUUUUCCCUACAAGAUAACAAAGAUUUGAUCAAAAAAAAUCUCUUAUUUGAAAUUAAGUCCCAAAACUAUGUUCAAAUUCAAUAGCUUAGCUGUUAGGUCAGAAAAUCCACCUCUCCUCUUCUCAGCUUGUUUAUUAUCCCACAGAAUGGGCUAAUACUUAACAGAGUUGGUAUGAGGCUUACGUGAGAUGGAGAACUAUUUUGUAAAAUAUGAAGUAUCAAUGUUAAUAUAUUAAUAAUAUAUUAACGUUAUAGUCAAAUUAAUCCCCCCUCUUUGUUAGAGAAAAACUAAUGAUUUGAUCCACAGAAUUUUUCAGGUCUGGAUUUCUAUGCCAUUUUUCUCCAGAGUUAUAGAACUGUACCACUUACAAAUACAUAGCUAAUUGUAAUCAGCAUCUUUAAUGUGUGUUUGUGUUAGUAACUCUUCUCAAUGUUUUGUCAAACAAGUUAUGUGCACUGAAACCAAAUAAAUCACUUGAGUGGUUGAUUUAAAAUAAUUUUUUGUUAUGGCCUUUUUUCUUUUGCAUCAUACAAAUUAUAAUUUCAGAAGUUAUUUACACACACACACACACACACAAAGACAAUGGGAAAAAAUUAUGAGACCUCUAAGGGGAACAUUCCUGACUCUUAGGACACAGUAUUCUCAUGUGGGGGCAUCCCCCCCUGGCCUAUCCCCCAUCUCUGUUCAGGUGGUCUGUGCUGCCAAAAUAAAUUCCCCCUCUUGAUCCUGGAAGGAACACGUGGCUCCAGAGAGCCUCCAUGUAGGUACAUCACAAUAAGGCAUGUUUCCUGGGACUAUUCAUUUCAUCUGCACUGCUUGUCUUCUAGAGGAGUCCUUACUCUGAGUCCCAGUUCUUCCACACCCUGCUUGCGGCACCUACAGCCACGGAGUCUCAGUGUGUUAGCCCUGGAAUACGCUAAUCCAGUAUUACCUUCCUGCUGUUACAAUGAAAAGCUAUGUACAUCGAAAAGGCAGAUUAAGAAAAACUGCUGUGAAAUGAUUUGUUUGAAGAGCGACAGACCACUCUAUAUGAAACUAAAGGGAGUUUUACUUAAUCUAAGUCUCAGUUUCUUCAUCAGUAAAACAAUGAAUGUAUUUCAUAAGGAUGGCAGGCUGAAAUGAAAACAGUAUUUCUGAAAAGCAUGGUGUCUGCUCUGCAGUAAGUGUUAAGUAAACACUAGCUUUAAAAGUUUUAAAUUUCUAAAUCAAGUGACCUACCCUACCCUAGCAGAUCUCUCCAAGGACACAGCAGCUCCAAUCUAACCAUAAUCCCAGGAUGACAAUCCAGGGAACCUGAAUAAUGCCACUGUCACUGGGUUUUCUCUUAGCCCAACUCUCUUAGGCCUCUAGUGCCUGACCUCAUGGUCUUAGACGGAGUCCUCCUGACCAAUAUAUUUAGUCAUUUCAAACAUUCUUGGAACAUGAGUAAGACUGGGGGUGUGUUUGGGUUGGAGGAAGAGGUAAGUGGCAAGGAAGUGAGUGUGUGUGUUGAAGUGACAAACUAAGAGUGGCUAAAGGGAACGUGGGCUCUGGGAUAGAUGGUGAAGGGAAAAGGACCUCAGUUUGGUACACAGAAUAACAGAACUGUGUGAAGCACUACAUUAUGCAGGACCUGAUUUAUUUAAUUACAAAAAAAAAACCCUGAAGAAUGAGGGUUGUCUAGGAUCUGACUCACUUCCCCAGAAAGUUGUUACAGUAGAGAUCAGGCUUUUCUUCUUCACUGUCACCAGCUGGAUAGACCCAGAAACUUAAAACAAAGGGGGAAAAAAGAGAAGAAUAAGGAAAAAAGUGAAAUGAGGAGAAUAAGGAACUUAUAUAAAACUGGAGUAUUAGAAUUUUUCCAAAAAUGGAGAUGACCAGGACUUUGUUCGAAGGUUAGGAAACUUGAAGAAUAAAAAAAGCUUGAAGGAAAUAGAGAGCCCAUAAAUGCGAAGCACUCAAAAAAGGCUGACCCAUUAUGUGGUUCUCCAGAAAACUGAAACGAAUAGAUGAAAUCUGCAUGUAACAGUUCAGCUUUCCACUUAGGAUUUCAUAUUUUGUCAUAUGCAAUACGGAGAAGGAAAUAAUGCACACGUAAAAGAUUUGUUGUUGUUGUUGUUACUAUUGUGUUUUAACUAAUCUAAGAGUUCCAGUAUUAGUCUUCAACCAGCUAACACAUACACAUCCCUAACCACUUAAGUAAUGAUUUUUCUAGGUGGAUUUCUCAAAUGUCAUUCCAUGCCAACGAUGUCUUCCCUAGGUUGGAUCACUCUUCCACCCUUCUUUGCACAGCUCAGCGAUUUCUCGGGUCACUAGCAUUUAACACACUGUAUCCCACUUUGUUUUCAUAUGGGAAUGACUGAACUAGAGCAGGUGGUACCCUAGGGCCCAUCCACCUUUUCGCCUACCCAUAUCCUGCUCACUGUUCACCAACUUAAUCACCAUUAUCAUUCCAAGGCGAAACCUAAAAACAGAACUCGGCUUAAAUAUACCAUGACCCAGGAACUUCCACAUGGCACAAGCUGGGCCAAAUAGAUAAAUAAAUAAUGAUGAAUACAGUGAACAUUUCACUUUAUACUGACAGGUUCAAAGAGAUGAUCUGGAGGAUAUAAAAGUUCAUUACAGCAAAUAAAUGACUGGAACAUGCUACAUAUAAAUGAUGAGCUAGGGCUGCAAUUAUCUCCUCAGAAACCUGUCAAGGUGCAGGCUCCCAGGCUCCCACCCCCAAGAUUCUGAUUCUGCAAUGAGGCUGAGGAAAGUACCUUUUUACCAAG
RNAcentral lists this long non-coding RNA (4749 nucleotides) under Sus scrofa (pig). Its description in RNAcentral is "lncRNA (ENSSSCG00040075982.1)". The stretch from base 775 to 839 matches the Rfam family "mir-155 microRNA precursor family". The record is from RNAcentral. Lineage: Eukaryota; Metazoa; Chordata; Mammalia; Artiodactyla; Suidae.